Molecule: non-coding RNA, 148 nt
Filed under: Lepisosteus oculatus (spotted gar)
Lineage: Eukaryota; Metazoa; Chordata; Actinopteri; Semionotiformes; Lepisosteidae
Description: Eukaryotic large subunit ribosomal RNA
Rfam family: Eukaryotic large subunit ribosomal RNA
Source: Rfam by way of RNAcentral
GAUAACUGGCUUGUGGCGGCCAGGGGUUCACAGCAACGCCACUUUUUGAUCCUUGGAGGUCGGCUCUUCCUCGUGCUGUGAAGCAGAUUUCAACAGUUGUUUGUUCCCAACUAAUAGGGAACGUGAGGUUAGUUUUACCCCACUGGUG